Molecule: long non-coding RNA, 1281 nt
Organism: Centrocercus urophasianus (Greater sage-grouse)
Lineage: Eukaryota; Metazoa; Chordata; Aves; Galliformes; Phasianidae
Exons: 2
Source: RefSeq, a predicted model, not a curated record
GCAGAAAAGAACAGCAGAAGAUUAAAAAAAAACAACAACAAAGCAAAACAAACAAACAGAAAAUCCUCUUAAAACCUGUGCAUUAUUUGAGCCAUCACUGAUAGGCAAACAAAGAAAACAAGUUGAGUGCAUUCCAUGUAGUUUUGGAAGCAAAAACCAGCUAUCUGGUUACAGGUAUUUGUCCCACUGAAAGCUGAGAAAGCAAACUGAAAAUCUUGUUUCCGAAGAUGUGAUUUUCUCUCUCUUUCUUAACUCCAAUUUGGUCUGUAGCAGUAAAUGUAAAUACAUCAGAAGUAAAUAUAAAUAAUAAGUAAAUGUUAAUAUUAGAAAGUGAUACAGCAAAAAGUAACAAUUAUAACUACAAAGAAUAAACACACUGUGCAGCUUUUAAUGGGGGAAGUGAAAACUCACUGAAGUGGGAAUCAGCCAGGCAGUGCUCUGAAGGGCAGAUUUAAAGCAGCAAAAUAAAAUGUAAGUUCAGUAAUACUCACCUUUCUGAAAAAUCUGAUUCUAUAAAUUCUCGAGUUCUCUUUCUUUCCCUAGGAGAAGACAAUUCAAGGUUACUUAUGUUAAAAUAACAUUUCUUUGAUCAAUAAAAUCAAUGUAUUUGGUGUCUAGCUAAAUAAUGUGUUGUUCAGUGCUUAAGGAAGACAACAGCACACGGUUUGACUGAAUUUGAAAGAAAAAGAUGAUGACUUUGGAUGUUGUCUGAGUCCACUGUCAGACAGCUGGUAACAUACAGCGUUUGGGAACUGUCAUAGCAUAGUACUUCAUGUUGCUACCCUGUUAUUCCAAAGCAGUCUCACAGCAGAUACACACCAGCUAAAAAGCUGACUGUGUUAAUGAAGAGAGCUGAACUAAAAUGAUGGCUCUGAAGAUGCUGUGAAAGCCUGCAUGUGUCAGGCUGUGCAAUUCAGAACCUUCAGUCUGACUAAUCCCACCUCCAGCAUCUUCCUAGCAGCAACAGCAGCAAUCCCUGUCCAUGGUGCUUACUGAGUGAAUGAAAAAGCUAUUUGAGGAGAUAAACAGCCAGCAGGAAAACCAACCUUAACAACUGCACACCUGUUUCCACUGGCACACAGGAACAGACAUUGCCAUACAACAAAGUUAAAACAAACAGCGAAGCAACUAGUGUGUGUAACUCUGUGUUCACAUGCUUAAGACAUAAGCACUUCAUAUGCUAAGGACUGUAUUCUUUUCAACUGUGGAAGAACUAGAAGCUGUGAGCUAACAUAUCGCAAAAAUAGCAUAAAUAAAGGAAGAAAAAAAAAUCAUAACAGA